GCGUGUAGCAGUGAAAUGCGUAGAUAUGCGGAGGAACACCGAUGGCGAAGGCAGCCCCCUGGGAUGACACUGACGCUCAUGCACGAAAGCGUGGGGAGCAAACAGGAUUAGAUACCCUGGUAGUCCACGCCCUAAACGAUGUCAACUAGCUGUCGGGGCCUUCGGGCCUUGGUAGCGCAGCUAACGCGUGAAGUUGACCGCCUGGGGAGUACGGUCGCAAGAUUAAAACUCAAAGGAAUUGACGGGGACCCGCACAAGCGGUGGAUGAUGUGGAUUAAUUCGAUGCAACGCGAAAAACCUUACCUACCCUUGACAUGUCUGGAAUCCCGAAGAGAUUUGGGAGUGCUCGCAAGAGAACUGGAACACAGGUGCUGCAUGGCUGUCGUCAGCU
Molecule: ribosomal RNA, 391 nt
Filed under: uncultured Pseudomonadota bacterium
Lineage: Bacteria; Pseudomonadati; Pseudomonadota
Description: bacterial SSU rRNA
Rfam family: Bacterial small subunit ribosomal RNA
Source: RNAcentral